GAUGAACGCUGGCGGCGUGCCUAAUACAUGCAAGUCGAGCGAACAGACGAGGAGCUUGCUCCUCUGACGUUAGCGGCGGACAGGUGAGUAACACGUGGAUAACCUACCUAUAAGACUGGGAUAACUUCGGGAAACCGGAGCUAAUACCGGAUAAUAUAUUGAACCGCAUGGUUCAAUAGUGAAAGACGGUUUUGCUGUCACUUAUAGAUGGAUCCGCGCCGCAUUAGCUAGUUGGUAAGGUAACGGCUUACCAAGGCAACGAUGCGUAGCCGACCUGAGAGGGUGAUCGGCCACACUGGAACUGAGACACGGUCCAGACUCCUACGGGAGGCAGCAGUAGGGAAUCUUCCGCAAUGGGCGAAAGCCUGACGGAGCAACGCCGCGUGAGUGAUGAAGGUCUUCGGAUCGUAAAACUCUGUUAUUAGGGAAGAACAAAUGUGUAAGUAACUAUGCACGUCUUGACGGUACCUAAUCAGAAAGCCACGGCUAACUACGUG
Molecule: ribosomal RNA, 497 nt
Filed under: uncultured bacterium
Lineage: Bacteria
Description: partial 16S ribosomal RNA
Rfam family: Bacterial small subunit ribosomal RNA
Source: RNAcentral